Molecule: long non-coding RNA, 397 nt
Filed under: Mytilus galloprovincialis (Mediterranean mussel)
Lineage: Eukaryota; Metazoa; Mollusca; Bivalvia; Mytilida; Mytilidae
Source: RNAcentral
UCUGUUCCAAAACAUCGUAUGUAUUUACCCUGAAAACCAACAUGUUCUGAUUAUAUGAUAGCAUUUUUUGCUUCACAAUCGCAUACUGUCUGAAAUUGUUUUCAAAGUCUUAUUGUUUUCAAAACAUAUAUACAGCAUCAUCAUCACUAAUGUACAGUAACUAGCUAGUGAAGAAUAUCUUUGGUUUAAGGGUGCAUAAAUUCACAUAUAUAUGAGAUCUGCUUGUGACACUCAUAAUCACCCCAUCGAAAAUCAAAGCUUGUCCACAUCACCAUGCAUAACUGAGUCGUUGGCCCAUCAGGUUGUCCAGGAUUAAUGUCAUUAAAUGACAUUGUUUCAUUUGGUUGACUUGCCCAUUCCAUGUCAUUAUCAUUGUAAAAAUUGUAACCAUUAAUCC